UACGAAGGGGGCUAGCGUUGUUCGGAAUUACUGGGCGUAAAGCGCACGUAGGCGGACUAUUAAGUCAGGGGUGAAAUCCCGGAGCUCAACUCCGGAACUGCCAUUGAAACUGUAAGACUUGAGGAUGAGAGAGGUGAGUGGAAUUCCCAGUGUAGAGGUGAAAUUCGUAGAUAUUGGGAAGAACACCGGUGGCGAAGGCGGCUCACUGGCUCAUAUCUGACGCUCAGGCGCGACAGCGUGGGGAUCAAACAGG
This 253-nucleotide ribosomal RNA is filed under the name uncultured bacterium. RNAcentral describes it as "partial 16S ribosomal RNA". It matches the Rfam family "Bacterial small subunit ribosomal RNA", at positions 524 to 776 of the family's 1533-position model. The record is from RNAcentral.